RNAcentral lists this non-coding RNA (101 nucleotides) under Deltaproteobacteria bacterium. RNAcentral describes it as "TPP sequence". It matches the Rfam family "TPP riboswitch aptamer (THI element)". Rfam says of the family: Vitamin B(1) in its active form thiamin pyrophosphate (TPP) is an essential coenzyme that is synthesised by coupling of pyrimidine and thiazole moieties in bacteria. Lineage: Bacteria; Pseudomonadati; Myxococcota; Myxococcia. The record is from RNAcentral.
UGAACUGGCUAGGGGUGGCCGCCAGGCCUGAGAGUUCGCUCGAACAACCCUUGGAACCUGAUCCGGGUCAUGCCGGCGGAGGGAAGCAAGCGUUGCAAGAA